Long non-coding RNA from Strongylocentrotus purpuratus (purple sea urchin), 1271 nucleotides. RefSeq lists it as uncharacterized. The transcript is spliced from 2 exons. The record is from RefSeq and is a predicted model, not a curated record. Lineage: Eukaryota; Metazoa; Echinodermata; Echinoidea; Camarodonta; Strongylocentrotidae.
AAAUUUGCCCCCCCCCCCCCUAAGAAAUCCUGGAUCCGCUCCUGGUUGCCAUGACACAACAACAUCUACUAGGGUACAGUAGAUAGAUAGAAUUUUUUAUUGAUCCAUAUUCAAAACAUAGAAAAUUGGCCUCCACUGGCAGCACGUAAGCAAAAUGCAACGUAGUUACAAGAUAAUUAAUAAACACUUAGGUGUUUACGUCACAUAAUGUACAAAUUCACACGAGAGUCAUGACAUUAAAAAGUUACGUAAUAAUAGGGAAAACCUAAGAAAGGAGUCGACAUUUAAAGAUUGAGAAGAGAGAAAGAGGUCGAAAGGAGACCAGAUUGAAGAGCGAAAUAGUAAGAAGAGAGAGAGGGGAGAGAGAGAAAUGGAGGGGAGAGAUUUAGAGAGAGAGAGAGAGAAGGGGGGGAGAAAGAACAAUACUGGACACGGUGGAGGAGGGAAAGGAGAGGGGAGGAUAUAAAUAGAGGGAGGGGGAUAGAAAAAGGAAAAGGAAGGGGGACAAAUUGUAAGCGACACAUAUAGAUAAAUUGUUUACUGUGUAUUUAAAAAGUAAUAUUAUAGUUAUUGUUUUGUUACUUUGUUUAAUUGAACUCAAGAUCAAUCCAAAAAUUAAAAUUUCGUGCACAUAUUAUUAAGUGCUUUUCAUUUUUCUUAUAAAGUUGUUCUUAAACCACCGUGUAUAAUUCUGCUGCAAUAACAUAAUUUAGCUCAACUUUAAUUUAAAAUGUAAUGUGGAAACUCAACCGUUAUAAGACUUUGUGUAUGCUCAUAGGCAUUAUACAUCACCUCAUAUGAAAUGCUUUAAUGAUAUAUUUUUAAUGUAAUAAUUCCAUUCAACAUAAUUUGACCUUACCUGUCACACAACUGACACACCUGCAUGUAUACUUUUUCAGUCUAUCGAUCUCAUUUUAACAAUUGCAAUAUAAUAGUUUCCCCUCUCUCUCUCUCUCUAUAUAUAUGUAUAUAUUUUUGUUUUAAUGAUUUGUUGGUAUUUAAAGAUUAUUUUUACUUGCAAUAAUUGGUUCAAUAUUUCAAGUAACUGUUAUAGGUUGUUCAUCCAUCUAUUAUCAUUUAUUUAUAUAUGUAUAUAACUUUCGGUAUGAACAAUAAUGUUAACUUUAUCUUUUAUCAUUUUUAUUGUACAUUUAUAUGAUCAUUCCUGUUUUAUGCACAUUUUAUGUAAACAUGGCAUUAUUGGUCCCUGGACUACUGCAUUGUACAUUGUAUAUGUUGAUAUUAAUAAACCGAAAUUGAAUUAAAUUGAA